AUCACCCCGUUUGUUGUCUCUGCUCUCAUGCAAAACUAGUACUACGGACUUUGAUUGCUAUAUGUAAUCAUCCUCCACAGUCAUUAAAGGACCGAUCGAAACGCAACCAUCUAACGUCACGAUACCUACACUGAUUUCUGAAGACUUUUUUCAAUUCUCCUGGUUCGCCUCGCUGGUUCCGCUCAUGGCUGUCAUCACCGCGUUAUGUCUGGCAGGGAGUCUCAUCCUCAUUGUUGUCAUUGGGUAAGUCAUAGAAAGAUGACAACCAAGAGCAUUGAAAGAGGAUUAUU
Syngnathus acus (greater pipefish) is the source of this 290-nucleotide long non-coding RNA. RefSeq lists it as uncharacterized. The transcript has 2 exons. NCBI's taxonomy places the organism in Eukaryota, Metazoa, Chordata, Actinopteri, Syngnathiformes, Syngnathidae. The record is from RefSeq and is a predicted model, not a curated record.